RNAcentral lists this ribosomal RNA (446 nucleotides) under uncultured bacterium. Its description in RNAcentral is "partial 16S ribosomal RNA". It matches the Rfam family "Bacterial small subunit ribosomal RNA", at positions 338 to 795 of the family's 1533-position model. The record is from RNAcentral.
CCUACGGGAGGCUGCAGUCGAGAAUCAUUCACAAUGGGGGAAACCCUGAUGGUGCGACGCCGCGUGGGGGAAUGAAGGUCUUCGGAUUGUAAACCCCUGUCAUGUGGGAGCAAAUUAAAAAGAUAGUACCACAAGAGGAAGAGCCGGCUAACUCUGUGCCAGCAGCCGCGGUAAUACAGAGGUCUCAAGCGUUGUUCGGAUUCACUGGGCGUAAAGCGUGCGUAGGCUGUUUCGUAAGUCGUGUGUGAAAGGCGCGGGCUCAACCCGCGGACGGCACAUGAUACUGCGAGACUAGAGUAAUGGAGGGGGAACCGGAAUUCUCGGUGUAGCAGUGAAAUGCGUAGAUAUCGAGAGGAACACUCGUGGCGAAGGCGGGUUACUGGACAUUAACUGACGCUGAGGCACGAAGGCCAGGGGAGCGAAAGGGAUUAGAUACCCCAGUAGUC